This 404-nucleotide ribosomal RNA is filed under the name uncultured bacterium. Its description in RNAcentral is "bacterial SSU rRNA". It matches the Rfam family "Bacterial small subunit ribosomal RNA", at positions 355 to 775 of the family's 1533-position model. The record is from RNAcentral.
UAGGGAAUAUUGCACAAUGGGCGAAAGCCUGAUGCAGCAACGCCGCGUGCGCGAAGAAGGCCUUCGGGUUGUAAAGCGCUUUUCUGGGAGAUGAGGAAGGACAGUAUCCCAGGAAUAAGGCUCGGCUAACUACGUGCCAGCAGCCGCGGUAAAACGUAGGAGCCAAGCGUUAUCCGAAUUCACUGGGCGUAAAGCGCGUGCAGGCGGCCCGAUAAGUUGGAUGUGAAAUCUCCUGGCUCAACUAGGAGAGGCCGUUCAAUACUGUUGGGCUCGAGGGCGACAGAGGGAGGUGGAAUUCCGGGUGUAGUGGUGAAAUGCGUAGAUAUCCGGAGGAACACCAGAGGCGAAGGCGACCUCCUGGGUCGUACCUGACGCUCAGACGCGAAAGCUAGGGGAGCGAACGG